UAGAAAAUCUAUUAUUUUGCUAAAAAAGUUAUUUUCUAAUUAUUUACUAUUUUUCAUAAUUAAAAACAUAGAAAACCUAUUAAAAUAUUAUUCUAAAUUCUCUAAAUUAUUUUCAUAAUUAAAAUAUUUAUUUUAUCAUUGAAAAACAUAUAUAAAGAUUAAUAGAAUUAAAAUAUUUUAUUUUAUUUAUUUCACCAAAGAAAUCAUUUUUAAAACUUUUAUCUAAAUUAUUAAAGAAUUUACAUAAUUUUUAUAUUAAAGAAAACCUAUUUUUGGGAUUAAAAAACUGUUUGGGAGGUUUUUGCAAAUCAAAGUUAUUUUUGAGGGGUUUUUGCAACAAAACACGUUAGGGAGGAAUCUCGAAAUCGAGAUGAUAUAUGGGGUUUCUGCGAUUUUUCCAAUCUUUUGGCCACUGGCCUUAUCUUUUGGCCACUCUCCAAUACUGACGCGUGGGGCCUACUAGCAGACCGGCCCACCUGCCUUGGCUCACGGUGGACCACCCCCUGCGUGCUCCUUUCGGCCCACCGAAUCAUGGACUGGGUCCACCUGUGCAAUGCGCCAGCUCACCAUCCAGUCCGCAGCUUCAGUCCACCAUGCACCACACUCACAAGCUCCCUCUGUCCAUAACCCCGUAGACCAAAUCCAUCAAACAGUGUCUCCUCAUAUUUUCCAGAUUUUUUCCUUUUUCCGACAAAUCUUCCGAGAACCGUAUCUUUCCCGUUCUAACUCCAUUUUUAACUAUUCUUUCGUCAAUAUUUCUCUAAAAUCAUGAUGUAUCUUCCGUGUGAUCUUGUGAUUUUAAAAGUUCAUUUAAUUUUCCGUUCCGCUUUAUUUUGUGUCAUAGCACUUGCAACCUAGAAAUAGGUUUUAAUCUUUUAGCUAGGUGACAAAUAGAUUUAAGUGUAGACUAUAUUAGUGAUCAUGUUUUAGGUUAUAAUCGUAGUUUAGUCACAAAUAAUAACCUAGCUUAAAGUGUAGGUUUAACCCUUUUAGUUAAUUAAGAAUAGUUACUAGAUAACCUUAGAUUAGUGCUAUAGAUUAGAGUAAUUAAUUACGAUACUUGAGCACAUAUAGUUUUAACCACCUAGAGAUAUACUUACGUAUAUAUGUAUACACGCUCACAUAUAUAUAGACUUAAAUAUCACACGUACAUAUAUAUCGGAACACGUGCACUCACAUAUACGUAGAAACCUUAACCGUCGCUCCUUGACAGUUAUAAUAGUAAGGAGCCUACCUAAUUGAUAGCGACUUAAUUAGGUUUUGCUUAGGUUAUGUUAACAACUUUACCUAAUCUCACUAGUUAACCCCACCUAGUUUGUACGUCAGAACACACAUCGUGAUGAGUAGUCAAUCAUCUUCUCGCUAGACUAGUUUUAGCCGUUUUCCUCGAUUGUUAUUUCGUCUGGUGUUCCUUUGGUUUUAUUUUGGUGUUUCUUUGCUUAGUUGUUGUUCAUUUUUUGUCGUUAAUCUGCAUAGGCUUAAAGCCAAGAAGCUAAGCAAGGACACAAGGAAGGAACUGAAAACGGGAUCCGAUGAUGAAGAACCUAGGAGACUCGAUCGACAAGACUAGUCGAGAAUUGACCUUCGUAAAAGCAAGUCAUAUUUCCUUGAUCAUUCUGAACCCAACUUUCAAUAAUCUAAAUGAUCAGCUUAAAAUCUGACUUAUUAUCGCAUGUGCUAGAUAUUGUGUGUUGAGGAUGAUCUCCCGCCCCCCCCCCCCUCUUCUGAGGGUAUCUCGAAGUCUACUGGGAAGGUUGCAUGCUUGCCAUUACAACUUCGUUUCAGGGACUUCAUCCGUAGGUGGCAAAGAUCACGAAGCUCCAUCGGUCGAAGAGUGUAGGCGCGCCCACAUCCUCGAUCUCUCGUGCCGGCGAAGACGAGGGCGACUGUCGGUGAUGAACACCGCAAGCGGGGAUCCUGAGGGACCUCUUUUGAGAUUCGGCCGGGGGGCUGAUUCUGGAUCUACCUCGUACGGAGGGUUAAUACGAAUGUAUGAAAUUUAGACGGGACAGAUGAUCGUCGACUAGUAGGAGUAAAUGCACCAGGGAUGUACUCCCGGGAGUCCAUACUAAUUUUCCUAUAUAUAUCUUGGGUAUCAUUAAAUUGUAUCCAUGACAUGGAAAAAAGCAUUUUUCCCAGGGUUAUGACAUGACAUUUGUUUCUUCAAUUGCUUUUCACUCCAUGUAACAAAUGGAUAUUUCCUAUUUAUGAAGCACAUGGCUGUUACUUUUACAUGAAAUGACAAUAUUUUGGUUAUACAAAUAUAAUGUCUAUCAUGUCAUGUGUCAUGUACAUGUUUCAAAAAGGAAAAAAAACACGUAUGCAGAACAUCUAGAAGGCUAGUAAUCCUCGCUUUCCAUGCCUACUGGUUAGGUGGUUCCCAGAGGCCGGCACUUUUUUCCCAAGCUUCAAAAGAACAGGCUCAUUCAGCAUUUACUUUAGGAAUGAUACGAACAGUCUAUCUCCAUCACAUAUGAGCAAAAAAUUUGGUUUCUUAACUUUAUUAUCUGAAGUAUUUAAUAUUGAAUCUGGUUGCUGCACUGAAGAUGCUUUUGAGUUUUUGGAGCUCUGUACUUCUAGCAGUGCAGCAUUUCAAAGCUAAAUAAUGAGAAACAAUAUUAUUCCUUGUUUGCUUGCUUUUUAUGGUGUAAUGCUGCAUUCAUGUGCCUUACAUUCUAGUGAAUUGUUUCUUCUCCCGUGCAUGCUUACAUAUAUCCAUCGGCAAAACAUUAAUAACUAUGAUUAUUGGGUUUUUGUUGUCUAGGUCCAUCCAAAUGUCCCCUGCAUGCUGUUUACUCCAAUCUGCCCGCACUCACUUUCAUUUUGACCUGUCAUCCUUCCGGAUUCCGCGCGGCUUGAAUUAAAGAUACCAGAUGAUGCAAGAAGUAAUGCUUGGGUAUCAUUUGACGGCAAAAGAAGGCAACAAUUAUCAAGAGGAGACUCUGUUCGAAUAUCCAUGAGCCAGCAUCCGCUUCCAACUGUUAAUAAAUCUGACCAAAAUGGUGACUGGUUUCGCAGCUUGAUCAGGUGCCUGAACUGGAACGAGAGAUUGGACCAGGAGGCGUUAUAGCCACUAGUUUUUUUUUGUUGUACAUAUAUAGCUUUACACAUAUAGUUUUUUUUUUUACCAAAAUGUACGUCAUCAUGUGCAAAAUCGACCUGGCACACAAGCUCCUUAGCUUAUUGACCUGGCAUUAGAAGUGAUUUCAGAUAUUGUCUAUGUAUUCAUCUGCUCUGCAAAUCAACAAUAUAGCCCAUUAUUUCUGGGCCAAGUAGAAGAUGAUAAUGCAUAAUAAGCACCUGAGCUGAUACCA
This is a long non-coding RNA of Phragmites australis (common reed), 3314 nucleotides long. RefSeq lists it as uncharacterized. Lineage: Eukaryota; Viridiplantae; Streptophyta; Magnoliopsida; Poales; Poaceae. The record is from RefSeq and is a predicted model, not a curated record. The transcript has 2 exons.